CGGAGGUUGCAGUGAACAGAGAUUGCACCGGUGCCUGGACAACAAAGAGACUACGGAAAAGAAGAGUGACUAAGAUCUCUGAAGAAGGGAAAAGCUAGAUGACUGGGCCACAAGAGGAAAAAAAGCAGCAAGACAGAGAUUUGUUGGUGCCAACUAAAUGAGCCCAACAGCCAGUGACAACAGAACUGCACUAAAAAAAGUCCCUCAUCAGCUCUUGAGAGCAGGUUCCUUAAAGGUGAACAAUAUUCCACAUACAAGGACUUUUUCAGCACCAUGCAUUAGAAAUGGAAGUGAAUGUUUAUUAUUUUUUGUAUAAGUUGGUUGAUACGGCUUUUCAGCUUCCCUCAGUAUCAUUAUCCAAAUUUUGUAGAUGACACUAAAGCUCAGAGGAGUUAAACCAUUUUCCUCAAAUCACAUAGUUUUAAAUAGGAAAACCAGAUAUGAAAAGCAGAUUUUUUUCUAAAUUAAAAAAAAAAAAAAAACUUGAGCUCUUGCUUUACCCUAGCACAUAGUCUCACCAUCUGUUUUCUCCAUGCCAGGUCAUUCAUGUAACAUUCAUUCACAUAACAAAUACAAAUAAAUGAGUGGAUUCAUUCAUCAGCUAUUAAUUCAGAAUCUCUUUUGUGUCUACCACACUAGGCUCAAGACUUCCCAGUGUCUUUGUCUCCUCUCCCUCAAAUCUCUCCACCCAAUGUCUUGACAAAUACUGUAGAUCCUUCCUGCACAGCAUCACCAGAAUGUUUUUCUUUCUUUUCAUUCACCUCUGUCAUCAUCCAUGCUAUGGUGUUUAUGGAGGAUGUAUUCUGCAGCAGGAAGUGUGAUGGGCACUGACGCUGCAGAAAGACUCCUGUUGUCCACCUCGGGAGCUGACACGAUAAAUGCGGAGAAUGAGUAGCCACUGCACCUUGCCCUGGGCCAUCAGUGAGAAGAUCUGCUCUUAGUAGAGCCCUGCUUUCCCGCUGAAGGCCCUGAAAUCCCCUGUGUUCCAGGCCACCCACUAAGGAUCAAUAAAGCUCCCCUGAUGUGGGGGAAUUAGCUCAAGUGGUAGAGCGCUUGCUUAGCAUGCAAGAGGUAGUGGGAUCGAUGCCCACAUUCUCCAAACUUUAUUAUUUAGACCCUGGGUCUCCAAACACUCAGGUCUCCAAACCCAAGUCAGAGAACAGGAUGCUGCUUUGGUUCAAGAUGUAGGAGCAGCAACAAUACAGGGCUGGUGACGGCUCCCUCCUGGCAUUCAGUAUAGUGUAGAUCUACCGUGUAAUUAAUUUUCUGCUUCUUUGAGGAGCUGUGAAACCAAGGGACAUAAACAAUUGCUCUUUUCUCCCUGUUUCUGCCUGUAGCUUGAAUGUGAGGCAACUGUGAAAAGUGCAGGGCAGAGCCACCUGGGUAAAUACAGCCCUGGCUUUCUGGUGAGAGGACUGAAACCAGGAUGUGUCAAGUAACUAGAAUGUGCCUGGACAGAUACUGUAGAAAGCAAACCCAUAAAGUUGUUCAUGAGCUUGUGGACGCACCUGCCAGCUGUGAAUAAGUGGGUCUAAUCCCAAACAACUUACCUAAAAAGAGCCUGAGGACUGAACUAAACAAUGGUCCACUUUCCAGUCCUCACUGACCACUGGUUGCACACACUCCAGAGAUCUCUCAUCCGCAGUGUCAAGGCUUUCAAAUAGAGUUAUCUGUGAAACAACAACACAUGGAAGUCUGGUUGGUACUUGGAGCUUAAAUACAAGGCAAUUGUGUGCCUGCAAAAACAAAAAGAGCAAUAUUAUCCUUAAGAUUUCAACAAGACACAGUGUCUCAUCACAUAAUCCAAAGAAGUCCAGGUUACAAGCCCCAAAAUAUUCAGCAUUAUGAAAAACCAGGGAGAUCUUAAUUCACAUGGCAAAGAGAAUCCUUGCAUAACAAUAUUGAGAGGACACAUAUGUCAAAAUCAUCUGACACAUACAUUAAAGCAGUUAUUAUAACAAUGCUCCUAGAAUUACGGGAUAGCAUUCAUGAAGUGAAUGGAAAGUUGGAAAGUCUCACCAAAUAUUUGGAAUAUGUAAACACCAAUUUAAACUUAAGAAUUAAAAAAAGUAUUAACCAAAACUAUUAGGGGAAAUAAAAAGCUUAAUUGGAUGAUCUCAAUAGCAGUAUGCAGAAGACUAAGGAAAAAGUCAAUGAACUUGAAAACGGAACAAGAAUACCUACAGAAUCUGACCUAUAGAAAGAAAGGAGGAUUUUAUUGUCCCUGAACAGAGGCUCAGGGACAAAUAAAAAAUAACAAAUCUAACAUUCACAUUAUUGUAAUCUGGAAACAUUCACAUUAUUGUAAGAGGACAAAGAGGUCUUUGUGGGAUAAAACUGUGAAGAAUUAAUGGCUGAAAAUGUAUCAAAUUUCUCAAAAGAUAUAAACCAGAUUUUUAAAGUUCAGUAAAUGUCAAGCAGGAUAAACCAAAAGAAACCCAUUGCAAGACAUAUCAUAAUCAAACUGCGGAAAAUUAAGAAAACACAAAACAAUUUUGAAAGCAGCCAAAGGGAAAUGAAAGAUAAAAUACCAAAUGAAUGAUUGUAGAUUUCUCAUCGGGAACCCAGGAGCCAGAAAAAAAUGUCAUAACAUUCAGUAAAUACCAAAGGAAAAAUACAUUAUCAACCCAGAAUGGUAUGUGGAGCAAAAGUAUCUUCCAGACAUAAAGGCAAAUAAAUGCAUUCUCAUUGGAAGGUAAAUAAAUACAUUCUCAGUCCUAGCAAAACUGCUGGAAAAGAAUUAGCAAAGGUUUGAGAUAAGAAAAGUGAUACCAGAAGGAAACUUAGAACAUCAUCAAUGAAGGAACAAAAGCAGAAAUAGAAAAUGUCUGGGUAGACAUAACAGACUAUUAUUCUUCUCUUGAGUUCCUUAAGGUAUGUUUGAUGGUUGAAAGCAAAAAUUGUAACUUUAUCUGAUGCAGUUGUCAUUGUAUCUAGAUGUACUACAUACAUAAGAUAAAAGGGUAAAUGUAAUGGGACUAACUCUUGAUGAAGUUUCUAUAUUCAACUUGAAUGGUAAAAUAUUGAUUCUUAGUAUACUGUGAAAAGUUAUAUAUGUAUAUGGUAAUCCCUAGACCACUUAACAACCAGAUUGAAAUAAACCAAAACAAGAUAGACAGAGGAACAUAGAAGAAUUAAAACAAAGGGAAAAAAGGUUAAUAAAUUAUUAAAUAGUAGAUCUAUCUAAAAACUUAUCUAUAAUAACAUUAUAUGUAAAUUAUCUAAAUGCAUUAAGUAAAAACUAGAGAUCAUCAGAAUGUGUUAAAAAUAAAUAUGCUGACUAAAGAAAGCCACCUGCAAUACACUUAUAAAUAAGAAUAAAAGUUAUAGAGCAGAUUGAAAGAAAAGAGUGGGAAAAGAUACCUCAUGCAAGCAUUAAUCAAAGACAGCUGUGGUGUAUAUAUAUAAAAUCAGACAAAGUAGAUUUGAAAGCAGAGAAACUUUUCAGGAAUAAUGAGGCCUCCUAAAUAAUUAUGAUUGUCAAUUUUUCAGGAGAAUAUUGUCCCAAAUGUAUAUGAGGACACAGAGCUUCAAAACUCAUAAACAAAAUUGGAUACGCCAAGUAAAAAUAGAAAAAUCCAGUUAUAGUUGCAGUCAUUAACACUCCUCUCUGAGUAAUUGGAAGAUUUAGUGGAACACAAAUCAACAGACAUACUGGAGAAUUGAACCAUGCCAUCCAGUAAUGGACCUAUCAAUUUCAUAAUGCAAAAUAAAAAUUCAGGUAGAAAGCAAAGACAAAAAUUAAAAGAAAAGCAAGAUCAUGUUAUAAUGAGAAAAUUAAGAGUAGUCCAGUGUAUAGAAGGGUGCUAUUAUUGAAAGAGUUUGAAAUAGUGACUUAGUUAUUUUGAAACAUUUUUGAAGACGUUAUUUAGCUGGAAAUGACAGAAAGACUGAAAAUGGUGAAUGUGGAGGUGGAUCUUCCCUUGUCCAUAUUUAUCUUGUCUUCGUUUGAGGUCUGGGGUGUCUAUACUUCCUCUGAAUUACCUGAUCUUACUACAGUGUCUGGCACAGAGCAUCUCCCCAGUGAAUAUGUACUAAAUGAGUAGAAAGUAAUUGAUAGAUUCAAAAGAGUUGUGCAAGAAUAAUGUUCAUUAUUUGACUAAUCACUGAAUGUGGUGUUUCAAGGAAGACAAUGAAUCAAAGUUGACUUGAAAGGUAAGCCCAGGGCCAGACGUGGUGGCUCAUUUCUGUAAUCCCAGCACUUUGGGAGGCCGAGAUCAGUGGAUCCCUUGACACCAGG
This 4240-nucleotide long non-coding RNA is filed under the name Homo sapiens (human). Its description in RNAcentral is "HSALNT0333367". The stretch from base 1027 to 1099 matches the Rfam family "tRNA". Lineage: Eukaryota; Metazoa; Chordata; Mammalia; Primates; Hominidae. The record is from RNAcentral.